RNAcentral lists this small nuclear RNA (117 nucleotides) under Ancylostoma duodenale. RNAcentral describes it as "U5 spliceosomal RNA". It matches the Rfam family "U5 spliceosomal RNA". Rfam says of the family: U5 RNA is a component of both types of known spliceosome. The precise function of this molecule is unknown, though it is known that the 5' loop is required for splice site selection and p220 binding, and that both the 3' stem-loop and the Sm site are important for Sm protein binding and cap methylation. The record is from Rfam by way of RNAcentral. Lineage: Eukaryota; Metazoa; Nematoda; Chromadorea; Rhabditida; Ancylostomatidae.
AUCUCUGGCUCCUUUGCAUUUGACCGAGAAAUCUUUCGCAUUUUACUAAAGAUUCCCGUGCAAAAAUGCAUUUUAUGAGUGCACACGGAUUAUUGGAAUCCCUCGAAAGAGCGGGAU